AGUGAACGCUGGCGGUAGGCCUAACACAUGCAAGUCGAACGGCAGCACAUAGGAGCUUGCUCCUUGGGUGGCGAGUGGCGGACGGGUGAGGAAUACCUCGGUAUCUAAUUUGUCGUGGGGGCUAACGUAGGGAAACUUACGCUAAUACCGCAUACGACCUACGGGUGAAAGCAGGGGACCUUCGGACCUUGGGCGAUUGAAUUAGCCGAUGUCGGAUUAGCUAGUUGGCGGGGUAAAGGCCCACCAAGGCGACAAUCCGUAGCUGGUCUGAGAGGAUGAGCAGCCACACUGGAACUGAGACACGGUCCAGACUCCUACGGUAGGCAGCAGUGGGGAAUAUUGGACAAUGGGCGCAAGCCUGAUCCAGCCAUACCGCGUGGGUGAAGAAGGCCUUCGGGUUGUAAAGCCCUUUUGUUGGGAAAGAAAUCCAUCUGGUUAAUACCCGGGUGGGAUGACGGUACCCAAGGAAUAAGCACCGGCUAACUUCGUGCCAGCCGCCGCAGUAA
Molecule: ribosomal RNA, 506 nt
Filed under: uncultured bacterium
Lineage: Bacteria
Description: partial 16S ribosomal RNA
Rfam family: Bacterial small subunit ribosomal RNA
Source: RNAcentral